AUGCAACUCAUCCUUCUCUUUUCUUUCUGUCUUCUUUUCCCUCCUUUACCUCACUAAAAAUGAUUUGUCGUCUUUUUUCACCCUCACUUAAACCCUAACAUCUAUUUUGCCUAAUCUCUUCUUCUAUUUUUUGUUUCCUACUCAUUUCUGUCCUCAUUUCACCGUAGGUAUAGUCUUCACCUUCAAAUCCAAAAGGGUAAAAUCAAGAUAUCAUUUGAAUUUGAUGAUUUGGGUAUUGUUACCCAGAAACUCUUCAAACGAUAUUCUUGCUUUUUUCUUUAUGGGCUUUCAACAUCGACGGCAGAAUGGGUAGGAGAUCAGUAGAUGGUUACAUCGAUGGGUUUACUGGGUUUGCUGUUGGCCUAUUGUAAUGAAUCCGUAUGUGUAAUGUGUAAUCGUUUUUUCCUUCUUGUGUAAUUGAUUUGUGUAAUGUGUAUUUGUUGUGUUAAUUUGUUAUUGAUUAGUGUAAUUGUAUUUUUUGUGAUUCACUUCUUGAUUUGUGUAAUUGAUUAGUGUAAUGUGUUGAUCAUGUGAGUUGAGAAA
Molecule: unclassified non-coding RNA, 543 nt
Filed under: Hevea brasiliensis (rubber tree)
Lineage: Eukaryota; Viridiplantae; Streptophyta; Magnoliopsida; Malpighiales; Euphorbiaceae
Source: RNAcentral